AUGGUGGUAUGGUCUAGGGGUAGGAUACCGCAUUGUGGUGAACGUGGAGAAAUCCACAUCUCAAUGCUGCGUUGGCCCCGGUUCGAAUCCGGGUACCGCCAC
RNAcentral lists this transfer RNA (102 nucleotides) under Penicillium olsonii. Its description in RNAcentral is "tRNA-His". It matches the Rfam family "tRNA". From Rfam's summary of the family: Transfer RNA (tRNA) molecules are approximately 80 nucleotides in length. Their secondary structure includes four short double-helical elements and three loops (D, anti-codon, and T loops). Further hydrogen bonds mediate the characteristic L-shaped molecular structure. tRNAs have two regions of fundamental functional importance: the anti-codon, which is responsible for specific mRNA codon recognition, and the 3' end, to which the tRNAs corresponding amino acid is attached (by aminoacyl-tRNA synthetases). tRNAs cope with the degeneracy of the genetic code in two manners: having more than one tRNA (with a specific anti-codon) for a particular amino acid; and 'wobble' base-pairing, i.e. permitting non-standard base-pairing at the 3rd anti-codon position. Lineage: Eukaryota; Fungi; Ascomycota; Eurotiomycetes; Eurotiales; Aspergillaceae. The record is from RNAcentral.